This 253-nucleotide ribosomal RNA is filed under the name uncultured bacterium. RNAcentral's name for it is "partial 16S ribosomal RNA". It matches the Rfam family "Bacterial small subunit ribosomal RNA", at positions 524 to 776 of the family's 1533-position model. The record is from RNAcentral.
UACGUAGGGGGCGAGCGUUGUCCGGAAUCAUUGGGCGUAAAGCGCGUGUAGGCGGCUCGAUAAGUCCGGUGUGAAACCUUGGGGCUCAACCCCAAGCCUGCACUGGAUACUGUCGAGCUCGAGUCCGGGAGGGGAGAGCGGAAUUCCUAGUGUAGCGGUGAAAUGCGCAGAUAUCAGGAGGAACACCGGUGGCGAAGGCGGUUCUCUGGGCAUGUCCUGACGCUGAGGAGCGAAAGUGUGGGGAGCGAACAGG